ACACGAUAUAUCACAUAACCCUGGCAGGUAUAUCAGUCAGGGCAAGUGUAUCAGUCAAGUCAUAAAUAAUAAUAAGAAUAGAACCAAAAAGCAAAAUUGCACUGCCAUAUCUAUUAUCAUAGCAAAUAACACUAACUUUUAAAUUGAAUAGAAAAGAAAAAUUCCAAUUUCAAUUGAUAUAUCACAAGCAUUCAUUUCAUAGAUUAAACAAAUUAGCUAUUCAGCAAAUUAGAUUAAUUUGAAGUAAAAUGAUUAGAGGAUCAGUCACCCCUACGUGAUGCACACAGACACAGUUGCAACACGACAACUAUCAUCUCAA
Molecule: unclassified non-coding RNA, 319 nt
Filed under: Hevea brasiliensis (rubber tree)
Lineage: Eukaryota; Viridiplantae; Streptophyta; Magnoliopsida; Malpighiales; Euphorbiaceae
Source: RNAcentral